This 301-nucleotide ribosomal RNA is filed under the name uncultured bacterium. RNAcentral describes it as "partial 16S ribosomal RNA". It matches the Rfam family "Bacterial small subunit ribosomal RNA", at positions 509 to 807 of the family's 1533-position model. The record is from RNAcentral.
CAGUCGCCACGGUAAUACGAAGGGGGCUAGCGUUGUUCGGAAUUACUGGGCGUAAGGGGCGCGUAGGCGGCCAUUCAAGUUAGAUGUGAAAGCCCUGGGCUCAACCUAGGAAUUGCAUUUGAUACUGUUUGGCUUGAGUUCGGGAGAGGUGAGUGGAAUUCCCAGUGUAGAGGUGAAAUUCGUAGAUAUUGGGAAGAACACCAGUGGCGAAGGCGGCUCACUGGACCGACACUGACGCUGAGGCGCGAAAGCGUGGGGAGCAAACAGGAUUAGAUACCCGCGUAGUCCCUGUCUCUUAUAC